Molecule: ribosomal RNA, 254 nt
Filed under: uncultured bacterium
Lineage: Bacteria
Description: partial 16S ribosomal RNA
Rfam family: Bacterial small subunit ribosomal RNA
Source: RNAcentral
CACGUAGGGACCAAGCGGUGUCCGGAUUUAUUGGGCGUAAAGAGCUCGUAGGCGGUUCGGUAAGUCGGGUGUGAAAACUCUGGGCUCAACUCGGAGAGGCCACCCGAUACUGCCGUGACUCGAGUCCGGUAGGGGAGCACGGAAUUCCUGGUGUAGCGGUGAAAUGCGCAGAUAUCAGGAGGAACACCGGUGGCGAAGGCGGUGCUCUGGGCCGGUACUGACGCUGAGGAGCGAAAGCGUGGGUAGCAAACAGG